This 488-nucleotide ribosomal RNA is filed under the name uncultured bacterium. Its description in RNAcentral is "bacterial SSU rRNA". It matches the Rfam family "Bacterial small subunit ribosomal RNA", at positions 28 to 507 of the family's 1533-position model. The record is from RNAcentral.
GAUGAACGCUAGCGGGAGGCUUAACACAUGCAAGUCGAGGGGCAGCAUAGGGUAGCAAUACUCUGAUGGCGACCGGCAAACGGGUGAGUAACGCGUAUGCAACCUACCCUGUACAGGGGGAUAACCCGGAGAAAUUCGGACUAAUAUCCCGUAAUAAUAUCCGGAGGCAUCUUUGGAUAUUUAAAGUUUCGACGGUACGGGAUGGGCAUGCGUAACAUUAGCUGGUUGGUAAGGUAACGGCUUACCAAGGCUAUGAUGUUUAGGGGUCCUGAGAGGGUGGUCCCCCACACUGGUACUGAGACACGGGACCAGACUCCUACGGGAGGCAGCAGUGAGGAAUAUUGGUCAAUGGGCGCAAGCCUGAACCAGCCAUCCCGCGUGCAGGAAGACGGCCCUAUGGGUUGUAAACUGCUUUUCCAGGGAGAGAAACUUACGCACGUGUUGCGUGACUGACGGUACCCUGGGAAUAAGCAUCGGCUAACUCCGUG